Molecule: long non-coding RNA, 2770 nt
Filed under: Homo sapiens (human)
Lineage: Eukaryota; Metazoa; Chordata; Mammalia; Primates; Hominidae
Description: HSALNT0406710
Source: RNAcentral
AUCGCGCCACUGCACUCCAGUCUGGGUGACAGAGCAAGACUCCGUCUCCAAAAAAAAAUUAAAUUAAAAUGUCGGUUUCCUAAGGAGUUCAACUGGAACACCACCAUGCUUGUUCAUGUAGUUAAAAGUCUGCAAGUGCUUGGUACAUACACAGAUGGUAUUUAUUUGCUGUUUGUCUUAAAUUGCAUUCUUAUGCAUCAUAGAGACUGCGAUAAGGAGAAGAAAAAAUAUUUUCUACAGGACCAUCCAAACAUGACAAGAGCAAAAAUCACCCCCUGCAGAACCUAGGAGCUACGUGCAGAACUUUACAGAGUUGAGGCAGCGCCGUAGCUGAGGCCUGACUGCUAACCAGGGAGUGGAGCUCUGAGUGCACUCAAGGAACGCAAGGAAGCCAGGCAGGGAGGAAGGGGCCGGCGGAGUCUAACUUCAGCUGCCAUCUUUUUUGGUGGCACAUCUCGUGGUCACAGGUUGUAGGCUGUGUUUCUGGAAGGUUCAGGUACAGCGCAAGAUUCCACUUGUCUACUUGGCUAUCUCUGUGCCUGAGGUGCCAUGAGGCCAACGGACGUCACUCAAAUUCAUGUCCAGCCAAACUCCCACAGCAAAGAAUCCCGAACCGAGGAUGAAGUUCCUCUAGAAAGCAUUCCUAUCUGUGGCAAAGCUGCAGACACCCCGAAACCCAUCUCCCACCUCGUCUGGAAUUUCAGGAGCUUCGUUUGCUGAGCCAGUGCACUCAUGGCAACCCUGCAGGAAGCCAUGUGGCACCUCUGGGCUUUGCACCGUGUGUGUUCUCUUCUCUAAACUGCUGUUUUUGCUUAGCAAAGAGCCUCGCCUGCCACUGAUGAUGGCAGUGUGGGGUCAUUUUGAAUGGCUGCCUGACACUGCAUGGCACAUUCACGUACACAGUCCUGUGGGAUCGUGACAUAAUAAGAAAUAGAUAUUUCAUCUCUGCCCCUGGUUCCUGACACAGAGCUCCUAAAACCAUUGAAAUUUCCUGGAUAAUAGGAGCUUCUUCUGUUCCAAUGGGGUGACUCUUGGUGGGCUCCUGGAUGGGGGCUGGUCACUAGCGAGACCACACCAUGAUGAGAAACCUGGAGCUUCAGCCCUACCCCCACCUCUGAGCAGGGGAGACGGGCUAGCUAGAGGCGCGGUUCCUAAUGCGCCAUAUGCCUACAUGAAGACGUCUCCGUAAAAGUCCCUCAGCAGUGGGGGUUUGGAGAGCUCCCAGCUAUUAUGAGAAAUACCACUGCGAUGAGUCUUCACAUACAAGUGUGUAUGUGGACACAUAUUUUCAUUUCUUGGGGAUAUGCCUCAGAGUGGACUUGCUGGGACCUAUGGACGCUCUGUGUUCAGCAUUUUGAAGCAUUGCCCGACCGUUUUCUAAAGCAGGUGCACCAUUUGACGGUCCCACCAGCAGCAUGAGAGAGUUCCAGUGUCUCCACAUCCUCGUCAACACUCACUACCUGACUUUUUGGGUCUAGCUCUCCAGGCCAGGAAGCCGAACCAAAUCCACCUCCCUCAGGUGUGCCCGCGGGACCUGUGUGUGUGCAAGUUUCUAUCUUCCAGAAGGUUCCAGUGUCUGCCAUGGCUCUUGGCCUGCCAGGAAGUAUCCUUCUUACUACUUGUGAGGCUGAGGCUUUGUGUGCCAGAGUACAGGUGCCCGGCCAGUAUGGGUCUGAGGGUUGUGUGGGCAUUGGUUCAGCACACAAGCCACAACCCUUGUUCCUUAAAGGUGGGCGUGUUGUGGAAGCACAGGAAAGUUAUUCUCAAAUAUGACACCCAUGUAAGGCCUGGGCUCCACUAUUAAUUUGUCUGAUUAUAUCCUGGUGACAAGGAGGACAAAUUUCUACUGCAACAAUGCAAAUUACUACGUUUUUAUUAAAAGUAAAUGUCAGUAAAACUAUUUUUCCUGAAUUCUGAAGUGAGAAAAACACCAUUUAAAGAACGUUUUAAUGUUUGUGAAAGGAUAGUCUCCUAAAGUAGAUUGUUGCAGAUACCGGGUAAAAAUAAAAAUUAAAUAAAUUAAAGGUGAGAUAGAUCAAAGAAGAAGGGUUUUGUCUUAUUCCUGCCAGAAACAGAAUAUCAGAAACAACAUGAGCAUCCUCCUCCUUGCCUUUUCUUGGGCUGUGCUUUCAGCCUGCAGAUAUAACCAUUCUGGAGAGCAGUGAUGCCCCCAGAACCGCAUUUUUGGCUGGUGCAAAAUGGGGGGCAGUGGUUGUGUCUGGGGCCAAGUUUCUGUCCUGUAUAGCCUAGAGAUGGUUAUGUAGCGGGGGACUGAGCUACUAAGUGAAGGCAUAGAUAGUUAUGUAGAAACAGAGGAGGGUAGAAUCAACUCCAUGCUAGAUUGUAACUGGAGGUACAGGUAUCAGUAUGAACUCAAGGUUUGCUAAGAGGUAUCAGAAAAGAUAUGGGUGUGUGUGUGUGUGUGUGUGUGUGUGUGUGUGUGUGUGUGUGUGUGUUUGUACAUACUUAUUUCCUAGCUCUGUCUGCUGAGUGUAAAUGGAAUCAUAUUCUGUAAUCUUUUGAGAUUUCUUUCUUCCAUUUAAAAUUAUGUGUUUGAGAUUUGGCCGUGUUGGUGGUGGAAUUCAUUCAUUUCUGUUGCUGUGUGCUAUUCCAUUGCGUGGAUACACCUCACUUUGUCCAUUUUACCGUCCUUUGAUAUUUAAGAUUUCUCCCAGUAUUUGCUAUUAAAAACAGCGUUAAAAUAAAAAAAAAAAAACACCAAAAACAGUGUUGCUCUGAACAUUCAUGCACAUGCUUCCUGAUGAACAAG